UGCGGGGUGGAGCAGUUGGUAGCUCGUCGGGCUCAUAACCCGAAGGUCGUUGGUUCGAAUCCAUCCCCCGCAACCA
RNAcentral lists this transfer RNA (76 nucleotides) under Neomoorella thermoacetica. RNAcentral's name for it is "tRNA-Met". It matches the Rfam family "tRNA". From Rfam's summary of the family: Transfer RNA (tRNA) molecules are approximately 80 nucleotides in length. The record is from RNAcentral. RNAcentral also lists the same sequence under 10 other names. Lineage: Bacteria; Bacillati; Bacillota; Clostridia; Neomoorellales; Neomoorellaceae.